Molecule: ribosomal RNA, 500 nt
Filed under: uncultured bacterium
Lineage: Bacteria
Description: partial 16S ribosomal RNA
Rfam family: Bacterial small subunit ribosomal RNA
Source: RNAcentral
AUUGAACGCUGGCGGAAUGCUUUACACAUGCAAGUCGAACGGCAGCACGGACUUCGGUCUGGUGGCGAGUGGCGAACGGGUGAGUAAUGUAUCGGAACGUGCCCAGUCGUGGGGGAUAACGUAGUGAAAAUUACGCUAAUACCGCAUACGAUCUAUGGAUGAAAGCGGGGGAUCGCAAGACCUCGCGCGAUUGGAGCGGCCGAUAUCAGUUUAGGUAGUUGGUGGGGGAAAGGCCCACCAAGCCAACGAUCUGUAGCUGGUCUGAGAGGACGACCAGCAACACUGGAACGUAGACACGGUCCAGACUCCUACGGGGUGCAGCAGUGGGGAAUUUUGGACAAUGGGCGAAAGCCUGAUCCAGCCAUUCCGCGUGCAGGAUGAAGGCCCUCGUGUUGUAAACUGCUUUUGUACAGAACGAAAAGGUUUCUACUAGUACUAGGAGCUCAUGACGGUACUGUAAGAAUAAGCACCGGCUAACUACGUGCCAGCCGCCGCCGUAA